GAUGAACGCUGGCGGCGUGCCUAAUACAUGCCAGUCGAGCGAACAGACGAGGAGCUUGCUCCUCUGACGUUAGCGGCGGACGGGUGAGUAACACGUGGAUAACCUACCUAUAAGACUGGGAUAACUUCGGGAAACCGGAGCUAAUACCGGAUAAUAUAUUGAACCGCAUGGUUCAAUAGUGAAAGACGGUUUUGCUGUCACUUAUAGAUGGAUCCGCGCCGCAUUAGCUAGUUGGUAAGGUAACGGCUUACCAAGGCAACGAUGCGUAGCCGACCUGAGAGGGUGAUCGGCCACACUGGAACUGAGACACGGUCCAGACUCCUACGGGUGGCAGCAGUAGGGAAUCUUCCGCAAUGGGCGAAAGCUUGACGGAGCAACGCCGCGUGAGUGAUGAAGGUCUUCGGAUCGUAAAACUCUGUUAUUAGGGAAGAACAAAUGUGUAAGUAACUAUGCACGUCUUGACGGUACCUAAUCAGAAAGCCACGGCUAACUACGUG
This 497-nucleotide ribosomal RNA is filed under the name uncultured bacterium. RNAcentral describes it as "partial 16S ribosomal RNA". It matches the Rfam family "Bacterial small subunit ribosomal RNA", at positions 28 to 507 of the family's 1533-position model. The record is from RNAcentral.